Oncorhynchus gorbuscha (pink salmon) is the source of this 196-nucleotide small nuclear RNA. RefSeq annotates it as U2 spliceosomal RNA. The transcript has a single exon. Lineage: Eukaryota; Metazoa; Chordata; Actinopteri; Salmoniformes; Salmonidae. The record is from RefSeq and is a predicted model, not a curated record.
UUAUCCUUCCCUUUUGGCUCAGAUCACCCCGUGUAGUAUCUGUUCUUAUCAGUUUAAUAUCGAUCCGCUACCCAUGGUGCUUGCAUAUUAAAUGGAUUUUUCGAACAGGGAGUCAGUACCUCCAGGCUCUGAUCAGGCCCUACACCCAAACAAGGGCACUGGUGCAUCCACCUCUGGCCUGCUGUCCCUACCACUG